This 24-nucleotide non-coding RNA is filed under the name Arabidopsis thaliana (thale cress). Lineage: Eukaryota; Viridiplantae; Streptophyta; Magnoliopsida; Brassicales; Brassicaceae. The record is from RNAcentral.
AUGUGGAGUUUCAGGAUCGCGCCU